UAAAGAUAUGAGUAUAUUAUUAAUAGAACUGUUUUUUGAAUGAAAAACGACCGCUCGCUUUGGUUACACCGGUUCAGCAUAGAACUAUGUGUAUGUAUGAAAGCAUGAGAGUGAAAGCAAGAAUCUCGCCAGUUGCCAAAUUGAAUAAUUUAUAGCAAUGUUGUUUGCUGUUCUAUGUCUGCAUAAAACGUGAUCCGUAUCAAAUAACAUUGACUUGGUGGCAGUCAACUUAUCCGGAGCAAGGAGGGACGAGGUGGAAAUACCAAGGUCUUACCUUGGAUACCUAAAAACAUGCGAAGCUUGAGGACUAUUCCAAUGUCUGCUUUCAUUUUCCCAUCAAUGACACUAAAGGCCC
Toxorhynchites rutilus septentrionalis is the source of this 355-nucleotide long non-coding RNA. RefSeq lists it as uncharacterized. Lineage: Eukaryota; Metazoa; Arthropoda; Insecta; Diptera; Culicidae. The transcript has 3 exons. The record is from RefSeq and is a predicted model, not a curated record.